RNAcentral lists this long non-coding RNA (2278 nucleotides) under Triticum aestivum (bread wheat). RNAcentral's name for it is "long non-coding RNA (TAES_LNC022908)". The record is from RNAcentral. Lineage: Eukaryota; Viridiplantae; Streptophyta; Magnoliopsida; Poales; Poaceae.
CCUCUCACAUCUUAUCUUGUUUGUAAUAUAUUCUCCUUAAACUGUUUAACACAAUGAGCAUGUAGAUGUAGUUGGUUCAUCAACGUAAACAUCAAAAGUAUUCCUCUUAUGCAGUCUGCUUCCCUGACAUGCAGGGCACACUAAGGUGGUGGGAAGAUACAUACAACCGUUAACCUGACGGCUAAGCGAUCAGAUGCGGCGAUUGUGUGAGUGUGUCAGGUACAUCGAAUUCACUGAUCCCAAACUAUUGGAUGUUACUAGGAUCUCCUCUUCUCUGUAAUACUUAUGGCCUUCUCCUCUACCUAUUGGGGCAACAAUUUGGAUAUCCAGGAACCAUGGUGACAAAUACGUGCAUACUGGAACUGUUCCAAGUUUCCAUUUUCUCAGUAAACAAGUGAACUAAGAAAGUGAAUCCUAUUUAAUAAAUGUAGGCAUAUACUAAUACGGUGGCACAACUUAGUCUGCAUGAAUGUUCUGGUCUUCUAAAUUUUUAGUAUAAUGUUGAGUACUUUAGUUGGAGUCCAUGCUAGUUUAGCUAGCCAAGUUGAGUCUAAUUAGGCUAGGUUGAUUAGUUAGUUUUCCACCAUUGCAAGUCGUAAGCAUGUGUGCUCAUGGAUGGGUCAUAGUCUGUAGAUGAUUCAAUGAUUUUGCAUAGGUAGCAGCGUACGUGAUGUACUAGUAUGCCUUGGAGUUGGUGUGCCUUACUAGUCUAGGAAAAGGGCGCUCGAGUCCAAGUCGUUUUAGAUGCUAAGUCAGAGUAGGUUUAGGUUGUUCCGGCCAUGUAGCAGGUCAUAGUUGUGGAAGCAGGUCGUAUAAGAGUUUUUCCAUAGAAAACAAGGUCAUGUAAGAGCUUUCAGACAAGAAUAAAGAGUAUGCUAAAGUUUCCUUCAUGUGCUUGUGUUUGGCUAUUUUGAUGUGAUAUAUUCUGUGGACAAAACAGAACAUAGAUUACUAAUCCAUAUGCCAAAUCAGCAGGUUACAGAAACUUGAUUGUUCCAAGACAAUGUUGUUGGCACUAAAACCUAAAAGACUACUGGUGCCAAGCUGGAUUUGCUAGGAGGUAUUUUCUAAUAUUACUUCUAUAUUGCCUGAAUGAUUCUUCACCAAUUCAAAUGGAAAUUUUGGAUUAUUAAUAGCAUUACUUGAAUAUAUUUUUAUUAUCACACAUGCUUCUGUUCUUUUACCUAAUUUGUACAAGAGAACACUUUUCUUCCAUGUUACAAUGGUCAUACACUCAUACUGCGUCUCUGAGAUAAGACUCUUUGCCGCUAAAAAGGGCAACCUGGUGCAUGUAGCUCCCGCUUGCGCAGGGUCCAGGGAAGGGUCCGACCACUUUGGGUCUAUAGUACGCAGCCUUUCCCUACAUUUCUGUAAGAGGCUGUUUCCAGGACUUGAACCCAUGACCUCAUGGUCACAAGGCAGCAGCUUUACCACUGCGCCAAGGCUCCCCUUCACUCUUUGUCGCUAGAUUAGGUAAAAUAAUUCAUCAACUCCUGUAUGCCUUCCUUACAUUCCCUCACUUCCUAUAUAACACUCUGUUUCUAUAAACAUGGUGAAACUUGAUAAUGGAAUGAGCUGAGUUACUUUACUGUAAACUAAAAUGACUACGUUCGGCUACAAAAGUAAUACUUGACAAGUUCAAACAAGAGCGCUGCUCUUACUACAACCCAACGUAUCAACCAAGAAUAUAAAGGUAAAAUUGACGGUGUUAAACUUGGUAAUGAAUUCCUUAUAUUCCGAAUUGAUCUUACAUUAGCAAAAUCUGGUAAGUUUAUACAACUAAUAAAAAGUCAAAAUUACUGGCGAUAUAGCUAGAUUAAUUAUCACAUGGCCUUCAACCUUUCUAUGUUGCUCCUCUUUUUCAAUUUUACUGCCCUAUUAACCUAUCUCAUUUCUUUGUGUAGAUUGCAAGAUAAAUCGGUGAUGCAUGGUCAGAUGUUGAUUGCAAGGUCAAGAACAUGGGUGCUACUAGAUAGUUUCACAUUGUGUUUCAGAAUGUCAUUUUCAUUGUCGAUGUGUCAAUCAUUAUGAUUCAGGCAUUUUCAGUGUCAAUGUUUAGAUCAUUAUGUUUCAAAAUGGCUGAGACGUUGGUUGCAAGAUCAAGAAUAGGACCAGUACUAGUUUCACAUCUUGUAAUCUUUGUAUCCAGAUCCUUGUAAUGCAACCAAGUUGAUUUAAUAUAUGAGACAGUUCUGUUUGUUAUACUGCGUCCUCUAUGCAAUAUUGGCAUUGACCUAAUAAUUCUUGAUCGGAAUUGACCUAAUAAUUCUGGAUGGUC